AAGCUUGUGCAGUGGCAGUAUCAUAGCCAAUGAGGUUUAUCUGAGGCACAGUUAUUGCUAAUUGAAACAGGACCUCACCAUGUAGCCCUAGGCUAGACUCCAACUUAUGAUCCUCCUGCCUCAGCCUCCCAAGACUCUGGAAUUAUAGACAUGUGCCACCCUGC
This 164-nucleotide small nuclear RNA is filed under the name Fukomys damarensis (Damara mole-rat). Its description in RNAcentral is "U4 spliceosomal RNA (ENSFDAG00000001918.1)". The stretch from base 1 to 69 matches the Rfam family "U4 spliceosomal RNA". The record is from RNAcentral. Lineage: Eukaryota; Metazoa; Chordata; Mammalia; Rodentia; Bathyergidae.